This 543-nucleotide ribosomal RNA is filed under the name Hyaena hyaena (striped hyena). RNAcentral's name for it is "partial 16S ribosomal RNA". It matches the Rfam family "Bacterial large subunit ribosomal RNA", at positions 1856 to 2624 of the family's 2925-position model. Lineage: Eukaryota; Metazoa; Chordata; Mammalia; Carnivora; Hyaenidae. The record is from RNAcentral.
UGCCUGCCCAGUGACACAAGUUAAACGGCCGCGGUAUCCUGACCGUGCAAAGGUAGCAUAAUCACUUGUUCUCUAAAUAAGGACUAGUAUGAAUGGCCACACGAGGGUUUAACUGUCUCUUACUUCCAAUCAGUGAAAUUGACCUUCCCGUGAAGAGGCGGGAAUAUAACAACAAGACGAGAAGACCCUAUGGAGCUUCAAUUAAUUGACCCAAAGAGACAUAAUUAUAACCAACAGGGACAACAACUCUCCACAUGGGUCAACAAUUUAGGUUGGGGUGACCUCGGAGCAUAAAUCAACCUCCGAGUGAUUUUAAUCUAGACUAACCAGUCAAAAGUAUAACAUCACUUAUUGAUCCAAUACACUUGAUCAACGGAACAAGUUACCCUAGGGAUAACAGCGCAAUCCUAUUCUAGAGUCCAUAUCGACAAUAGGGUUUACGACCUCGAUGUUGGAUCAGGACAUCCCGAUGGUGCAGCAGCUAUCAAAGGUUCGUUUGUUCAACGAUUAAAGUCCUACGUGAUCUGAGUUCAAAACCGGAGA